UUCAAGUAAUCCAGGAUAGGCUGUGUGCAUUCUUAAUGGCCUAUCCUUGAAUACUUGCACU
This 61-nucleotide microRNA precursor is filed under the name Python bivittatus (Burmese python). RNAcentral's name for it is "Pbv-Mir-26-P1_pre stem-loop". Lineage: Eukaryota; Metazoa; Chordata; Lepidosauria; Squamata; Pythonidae. The record is from RNAcentral.